AACGUAGGGGGCGAGCGUUAUCCGGAUUUAUUGGGCGUAAAGAGCACGUAGGUGGUGCUAUAAGUUGGGCGUGAAAGCUCUUGGCUUAACUGGGAGAGGCCGUUCAAUACUGUAGUGCUUGAGGUUGGAAGAGGAGAGUAGAAUUCCCGGUGUAGUGGUGGAAUGCGUAGAUAUCGGGAGGAAUACCAGUGGCGAAAGCGACUCUCUGGUCCACACCUGACACUGAGGUGCGAAAGCGUGGGUAGCAAACGGG
RNAcentral lists this ribosomal RNA (253 nucleotides) under uncultured bacterium. Its description in RNAcentral is "partial 16S ribosomal RNA". It matches the Rfam family "Bacterial small subunit ribosomal RNA", at positions 524 to 776 of the family's 1533-position model. The record is from RNAcentral.